RNAcentral lists this ribosomal RNA (437 nucleotides) under uncultured eukaryote. RNAcentral's name for it is "SSU rRNA". It matches the Rfam family "Eukaryotic small subunit ribosomal RNA", at positions 1327 to 1785 of the family's 1831-position model. The record is from RNAcentral.
GUUAACGAACGAGACCUCAGCCUGCUAAAUAGUGUCAUUUUCUUCGGAAGAUGUGCACUUCUUAGAGGGACUACUUGUGAAACAACCAAGCGGAAGCUUGAGGCAAUAACAGGUCUGUGAUGCCCUUAGAUGUUCUGGGCCGCACAUGGGCUACACUGGUGCAUUCAACAAGCAUAAUCACCUUAACCGAAGGGUUUGGGUAAUCUUUGAAAUUGCACCGUGCUUGGGAUAGACUAUUGCAAUUUUUAGUCUUCAACGAGGAAUUCCUAGUAAACGCAAGUCAUCAGCUUGCAUUGAUUACGUCCCUGCCCUUUGUACACACCGCCCGUCGCUCCUACCGAUUGGAUGAUUCGGUAAGCUUUUGGGAUUGAUUACGUAUUUGUCAUUGACAUUGCGUUUUAACAACUUAAUCAAACCUAAUCAUCUAGAGGAAGGAG